Molecule: ribosomal RNA, 855 nt
Filed under: uncultured archaeon
Lineage: Archaea
Description: bacterial SSU rRNA
Rfam family: Archaeal small subunit ribosomal RNA
Source: RNAcentral
CCGCGGUAACACCGGCAGCCCGAGUGGUGAUCACUAUUAUUGGGUCUAAAGGGUCCGUAGCCGGUUUAAUCAGUCUUCUGGGAAAUCUAAUCGCUUAACUAUUAGGCUUCCAGGGGAUACUGUUAGACUUGGGACCGGGAGAGGUAAGAGGUACUGCAGGGGUAGGAGUGAAAUCUUGUAAUCCCUGUGAGACCACCAGUGGCGAAGGCGUCUUACCAGAACGGGUCCGACGGUGAGGGACGAAAGCUGGGGGCACGAACCGGAUUAGAUACCCGGGUAGUCCCAGCUGUAAACGAUGCUCGUUAGGUGUCAGGAACGGUGCGACUGUUUCUGGUGCCGAAGGGAAGCCGUGAAACGAGCCACCUGGGAAGUACGGCCGCAAGGCUGAAACUUAAAGGAAUUGGCGGGGGAGCACUACAACGGGUGGAGCCUGCGGUUUAAUUGGACUCAACGCCGGAAAACUCACCGGGGGCGACAGCAAUAUGUAGGUCAGGUUAAAGGUCUUACCUGAAUCGCUGAGAGGAGGUGCAUGGCCGUCGUCAGUUCGUACUGUGAAGCAUCCUGUUAAGUCAGGCAACGAGCAAGACCCGUGCCCACUGUUACCAGCAUAUCCUUUAUGGAUGAUGGGGACUCUGUGGGGACCGCUGCUGCUAAAGCAGAGGAAGGUGCGGGCUACGGUAGGUCAGUAUGCCCCGAAUCUCCCGGGCUACACGCGGGCUACAAUGGUUGGGACAAUGGGUAUCUACUCCGAAAGGAGUUGGCAAUCUCUUAAACCCAAUCGUAGUUCGAAUUGAGGGCUGUAACUCGCCCUCAUGAAGCUGGAAUCCGUAGUAAUCGCGUUUCAACAUAGCGCGU